AGAGCAUUGAGAGGACCUUUCCCUAGUACAAGAGGACCGGGAAGGACGCACCUCUGGUGUACUAGUUAUCGUGCCCACGGUAAACACUGGGUAGCCAAGUGCGGAGCGGAUAACUGCUGAAAGAAUCUAAGUAGUAAGCCCACCCCAAAAUGAGUGCUCU
This 160-nucleotide non-coding RNA is filed under the name Helianthus annuus (common sunflower). Its description in RNAcentral is "sRNA HanXRQr2_Chr16g0755041". It matches the Rfam family "Bacterial large subunit ribosomal RNA", at positions 2656 to 2814 of the family's 2925-position model. Lineage: Eukaryota; Viridiplantae; Streptophyta; Magnoliopsida; Asterales; Asteraceae. The record is from Rfam by way of RNAcentral.